AUGAUAGCAAUCCCUGCCACCAGGAUGGAUCACAGAGUGGUAGCCAGAGUGGAUCAUACACCUCACAAAACUAUGGUGGUAGCCAGCAGAGUGGAUCAUCAUCCUCACAAAAUUAUGGUGGUGGUCGGGGUGGUUCAUCCUCACAAAACUAUGGUGGCAGCAAAGGUGGAUCGGGUGGAUCCUCUUCUCAAAACUAUUAUGGCGGCCAAGUAAGUAAUGCUUUAUUUCAGCAAUUAUACAUCACUUCAUACAAGCUUUAGCCUCUGCUCAAAAUUGGGUUUUCUGUUUGCUAGUUUUCUCUGAUUUUUGAUUGGAUUUUUUUUUUUUAAG
RNAcentral lists this long non-coding RNA (330 nucleotides) under Anas platyrhynchos platyrhynchos (common mallard). RNAcentral's name for it is "lncRNA (ENSAPLG00000026123.1)". The record is from RNAcentral. Lineage: Eukaryota; Metazoa; Chordata; Aves; Anseriformes; Anatidae.